This 801-nucleotide long non-coding RNA is filed under the name Panax ginseng (ginseng). Its description in RNAcentral is "long non-coding RNA (PGIN_LNC017667)". The record is from RNAcentral. Lineage: Eukaryota; Viridiplantae; Streptophyta; Magnoliopsida; Apiales; Araliaceae.
AGCUAUAUCAGACAUUCAAAUUCAUUGAAGUUUGAUCCAAAUAAUUACAAGUGGGUUGAAUAAAUAAUCUCAAAUUCAAUGACUCAAUUAAUCCAUUCAAAGUCUGCAUGACUAGUAUGAUUAAUUAGCUUUUAACCCCAAUUAGCAUAUCCAUCACAAAAGAUACACAUAAUAUCAAAAAAUUAUAACCACUCUUGAAGAAAACAAAAAUGAAAUUAAGCACCAAUAAUAUAAAAAUAAAAACUCUUACAAAAUUCAAACCACCAGUAAUAAUAAUAAUAAUAAUAAUAAUAAUAAUAAUAAUAAUAAUAAUAAAAUCCGAUAUAUAAUCCUUUCAAGACAUUGCCAAAGGUCUUUAGUUGCCCUAAUGGUAAUUAAAUUACCAUCAUGACUUUACAAUCAAUCUUCUUAAUUAUAUACGAUCAUCUUCAUCAUCCUCUUCGCCGCCAAUGCCGCCAUCGUCCGCUGCCGCCGCACCGGCCUCGGAACCACCCAUCUGAACUCCGGCAGCUGACACCAAGUGGAAACUCAAUUAAUAUUGAGUGGAGAAAGAAAGCUAGCUAGAGUUCUUGAAAUUUAGUGAGGAGAGGGUAUGGGUUUAGCAGUGGCUUUUUUGUAGGAAGGAUGGUGGGAAGAGUAUCUUCUUGGCAUAUACUAUGAAGCAUUACUUUUCCCAUUUACUUUUUUAUAAAUUUUUCAAUAUUAUAAUAAAACUAAGAAGGUGACCAUGGCAUUAAUUUGUGGAAUCUACUUAGAUCUCUCCUAUUUUUAGUGGUCUUUUGAGAUGUAUGCAUAUCCCUG